This 258-nucleotide long non-coding RNA is filed under the name Malus domestica (apple). RNAcentral's name for it is "long non-coding RNA (MDOM_LNC004672)". Lineage: Eukaryota; Viridiplantae; Streptophyta; Magnoliopsida; Rosales; Rosaceae. The record is from RNAcentral.
GGCUGCAAUGCGGGUGAUGACCGUUUCACAUUCCUCCUCUGCCAGAUGUAGAUUUAUGGCCAUCUUCUUUAUAUUCUACUCCAAAGUUAGCAAUAUGUGCUACUUAACACCAUAUAUCUAGAAGAACUUCACCAAGUCUUUGCCCACAAAUUAUGGGCCAUUAUCGGUGACGAUAGAUUGAGGGAAGCCGAAUCGGUAGAUGAUGUUCCUUCAUAUGAAGCACUCUAUGUUUGAUUGAGUAGUGGUGGUCAUGGGCUC